GCAUAUCAAUAAGCGGAGGAAAAGAAACCAACAGGGAUUGCCUCAGUAACGGCGAGUGAAGCGGCAACAGCUCAAAUUUGAAAUCUGGCCUCUUUGGGGUCCGAGUUGUAAUUUGUAGAGGAUGUUUCGGGUACCGCCUCGGCCUAAAUUUCUUGGAACAGAAUGUCAAAGAGGGUGAGAAUCCCGUCUUGGACCGGCGGUAGGGCCCAUGUGAAACUCCUUCGACGAGUCGAGUUGUUUGGGAAUGCAGCUCAAAAUGGGUGGUAAAUUUCAUCUAAAGCUAAAUAUUGGCCAGAGACCGAUAGCGCACAAGUAGAGUGAUCGAAAGAUGAAAAGCACUUUGAAAAGAGAGUUAAACAGUAUGUGAAAUUGUUGAAAGGGAAGCGCUUGCAACCAGACUUGUGCUCGGCGGUUCCCCCUUCCUUUUGGUUGGGUUAUUCCGUCGUGUCCAGGCCAACAUCGGUUCUGGGGGUCGGUCAAAGGCCUUGGGAAUGUACCUACCCUUCGGGCGUAGACUUAUAGCCCUUGGUGUCAUGCGGCCUCCCGGGACCGAGGAACGCGCUUCGGCUCGGAUGUUGGCGUAAUGGUUGUCAGCGACCCGUCUUGAAACACGGACC
RNAcentral lists this ribosomal RNA (617 nucleotides) under Rhinocladiella aquaspersa. RNAcentral's name for it is "eukaryotic LSU rRNA". It matches the Rfam family "Eukaryotic large subunit ribosomal RNA", at positions 38 to 667 of the family's 3401-position model. The record is from RNAcentral. Lineage: Eukaryota; Fungi; Ascomycota; Eurotiomycetes; Chaetothyriales; Herpotrichiellaceae.